UKSGUAGUAGGAUGGUCCACCUAUUAUUUACUCUUUUUAUGUUGGUGUAUGUCUGGUUUGAUAUUAUUGUUUAGUAAUGUAAGUUUGUGUAGUUUUAGUUAAGCUAAGUCUAUGUGCUGCUUAUAAGAGUUUUUGUGUGUUACAUUGAUAGGAAAUUGUUGUAAUAU
Molecule: ribosomal RNA, 167 nt
Filed under: Echinococcus multilocularis
Lineage: Eukaryota; Metazoa; Platyhelminthes; Cestoda; Cyclophyllidea; Taeniidae
Description: partial small subunit ribosomal RNA
Source: RNAcentral